CAGUAGCCGCGGGAAUACGUAGGUCCCGAGCGUUGUCCGGAUUUAUUGGGCGUAAAGCGAGCGCAGGCGGUUAGAUAAGUCUGAAGUUAAAGGCUGCGGCUUAACCAUAGUACGCUUUGGAAACUGUUUAACUUGAGUGCAAGAGGGGAGAGUGGAAUUCCAUGUGUAGCGGUGAAAUGCGUAGAUAUUGGGAAGAACACCAGUGGCGAAGGCGGCUCACUGGACCGACGCUGACGCUGAGGCGCGAAAGCGUGGGGAGCAAACAGGAUUAGAUACCCCCGUAGUCCCUGUCUCUUAUACC
This 301-nucleotide ribosomal RNA is filed under the name uncultured bacterium. Its description in RNAcentral is "partial 16S ribosomal RNA". It matches the Rfam family "Bacterial small subunit ribosomal RNA", at positions 509 to 808 of the family's 1533-position model. The record is from RNAcentral.